RNAcentral lists this long non-coding RNA (514 nucleotides) under Homo sapiens (human). RNAcentral's name for it is "HOXB cluster antisense RNA 3, transcript variant 4 (HOXB-AS3)". The record is from RNAcentral. Lineage: Eukaryota; Metazoa; Chordata; Mammalia; Primates; Hominidae.
GGAACCAGAUCUUGAUCUGGCGCUCGGACAGGCAGAGUGCGUGGGCGAUCUCGAUGCGCCGUCGCCGGGUCAGCCGUUUCCUCUCCCUCGCCGGCCUCGGCGGAGAUUCCAGGCCCUAUAGAAACCAGGACGUCCCUUAGCGCCACCGCCUCACAUGCCAGUGCUGCCGGGAACCCAGCGAUAUCCGCACCAGCGGAGAAGGUUCCAGGCUGCCGGCGGCGGCGCAGAGAGCGGGAAGAGAGGCUCGGAGGAAGCCCCGGGCGUGGCGUGGUCAGGCUCCGAGAGCGGCCGGGAUGCGGCCACACCGGCCUGGUAAACUCGCACCUCUUAGGAUCUUGCUCCCGGACUCAUUCCCUUCCCCACCCCCUAUUUUAAAGUUUUAUUUGGGUCGUCUGUAUCAAUUUAGAACGAGAUAAAUUAAGACAAAGAAAGUAAAAUAAAUCGAAAUAAAAUAUAGGAAUAGCUCUUGGCGAAAAAAAAAAAAAAAAAAAAAAAAAAAAAAAAAAAAAAAAAA